CAUCAGGGCCUUGCCUCCCAGCGACAAUGCUUCAGGGCAAUAAUGAAGAAGAGUCUCUUAUAAAGGUAUGGCGAGAUUGCCACUCCAAAUCCCUGUCCUCCGAAGCCUUUGCUUUUUAGCAGUCAUGGGUGUGACUUGACUCGUGGUUCUCAAGCCUAAAAACGACCCCCCAGGUGAGGAAUCCCUGGAGGAAAUCCACUGGAGAGCCGCCUUUGGAGGAGCCGUAAAGCCAUCUCAUGCAAAGCAAGAGGACUCUGGCUGCUGGUCUCGAACAAGCAGGCCCAGUGCCUCUGAACAUCGCAGACACCGCUGACCUCUGAUUUGUCUCCCUCGCUUUGACCUGCUCUGUGUUGUCCUGUGUGUGAGACGCGAGAGCUUCUUCAGCUUGUGAGCAGCCGUGUCGUCUGCCGUGCUGAGUCCGCCGCCGCUCCGGGCGCUGGUGCCUGUGAGGGCGUAUUCGUGCACACCCAGAGCCUGUGAGGGGCGGAGAGACGCUGGUGCACUUCAUCUAGACGGGUCCUUCACCCUGGUUCCCACCAAGGACAAGCUCGCUGCCUGUCUCUUAGAUAAGAGUCCAGUAACCCGCGGAAUAAAAUCUGUUGUUUGUUGUCGCUCUUUGAAGGUACGGGUGAGCCUUAUCAGUGAAAUUAGAGGAGUUCCCGGGUGACGCACAGUGUUAAUACUGAGCAUUUGAGGACUGGCCAGGAGGUUGGUAGUUUGAAUCCAUCCAAAGGCUCCUCAGAAAACUGCCCCAUUGGUGAUCUUCUGGAGGUCACAGCUUAACCUAUGCAGCAGUUUCUCUGCACACAUGGAGUCCGAUCAGCUCUGUGGCAACCAAGAAUGUGAGAAGAAUGGGUUGGGAGGAGUUGGGUGGGGGGAAAUUAAAAAAAAAAAAAAGAAGAAUGGGUUUAAGAAGUCACAUCUGGCCUGCCAGUCAGGCCUUGAUUCACUGUCAGUCUUCCAGUUUGGCUGUGCUGCUACCUCUGUGUGCCUCAAGUUUGCCAGUGUGGGGGUCAGCUGAGUUCUGUUGGGGAGAUUUGGGCUUGCUAACAGUUGCUAAGUGCUGUAUUGUCAACUGCAGCAUAGUCAUCCCCAUAACACAACAUCUUUAUGGCCAAACUGCCUGCCCCUGAAACCAACUUGUCCUGGGUUAGAAGAUGAGAAAUGGUGACUCCGUGGAGGUCUCCAGCCCUCUGUUGUCCCCCUUCCAAGGACAAACAGGGUGCUAUACAUACCUUUGUCUUGAGGGUGACCAUUCAUGUGCUGCUAGACAGUGUAAGACAGUGUAACAUGACCUGGGAGGGUGUGGAAACCCCUUGCUUUUUACUUCACUUUCGAAUGGCUGAUUUGACUGUUGUUGUGCUACUGGAUGACCCUGUAUCCCUGCCUCCCCAAUUUGGCCAUCUCUUUCCGAAAGUAAUGCAGUGGGUCCUCUAGCCAACUUCCACGCUUCCUCUCUCUCUAUUGCUCUGAGUGAUACACGGUGGCUCAGUCUGGUUAUUGGCCAGUGCUGGAACCCGACACUCCAAAUGCUUGGGGACAUUCUCAAGUACACAGUGCCUCUAACAGCAGACCGAGGCAGGUAAGAGUAUGAGGCACCAUGCUUAGGACUCGCCUUCAGAAGAAUGAUCAGUGAGCAGCAUAUGGGUACUAUAGCAAAGUGUGGUGCAGAAAUCAAAUAGCAGGGUGACAUUUGAUGUCUCAAAGGCUUGUCUUAGCACAAGGAGCCAUCUCAAUGAUGUGUCAGCCUAGUCCAGGUGGAAGGAACACACCAGCCAGUGUGAUCCAAGGAUUACGAAUAGUAAAAUCCAUGCUCAGAGGAGAAAUUGUAUUAAAACUUUAAAUUUGUUUGCAAAAGGUUCAAGAGUACAUUUCAAAGAUGUUUUCAGGUGAUGGUGAUGUUUCCAUGUUGCGUGAGCCACAGCAUGGGUGGGUCAUUGUGCCUCUAAGGCUGUGCCUGGUGGCCACAGUUUUAUUUGAGACACAGCCCCUGAAGCCUUCUAGCAAUGGGGCUUUUUGCAGAUUGUGGCUGUUGUCCCGCGGUCCCUGCGAGGGUUUUUGAGCAUACUGGCCCGGCUCACGUUCCUGCUUGGGUGCCUUGGCAGUGCCUGUCUUUGUGGCUUUCUUGUCUGCUGCCGGUCUGUCACCACAGCCUCAGACAUGCUAGCCUACACUAAGGUGUCAGUGGUGCAUGGCGCUCCUCUCAGAAGGGCUGGCGUCUCAACUGGGAUUUUGUUGUGAUGGGGUUGGGGCGGUGUUAUGGGACCACCUACCUGGUACCUCUGAAAUACCCAAAGCCGCGGCCAGCUUUCCUCACCCUAGGGCAGGCAGCUGCUGCACCAGGCCUCAGCAGGAAGGGUAAGCCUCGCUGUUCCAACCCUGCCUGGCGCUGGCCAGCAGCCACUGGUGUGCCCCGCUGGGUGGCUCCAGGAGCCCUGGUGGUGCAGUGGGUGAGACUCCAGCUGCUAACUGGGGGACCGUUUCAAGGCCACCAGCUGCUCUGACCGAGAGACACGGAACUGCCUGCUUCCACCGAUCCACGUCCUCAGGAUCUGGCACAGUUUUCUCUGAUGUAGAAGGUCACUGAGCCAGAAUCGACCUGGUGGCAGUGGGUUUAUGUGUGUAUCCCUUGAUUAUCUGUUGGCUUCAUUUGGGGUUCUAAGCAUGCACACCUGCCUUGCGACAUAUCCCUGCCUCCACAUUUUUUUAAUUGUUUUAUUAGGGGCUCAUACAACUCUUAUCACAAUCCAUACAUCAAUUGUGUAAAUCCCCACAUUUAUUAUAGACCAAGAACUGUGUGUUUUAAGAUUUUUUUCUUCCAGUGAAAUUUCCCUCUUUGGUGGAAUAAAUUCCCGUUUUGAACACGAAA
This is a long non-coding RNA of Echinops telfairi (small Madagascar hedgehog), 2869 nucleotides long. RefSeq lists it as uncharacterized. The transcript has 2 exons. NCBI's taxonomy places the organism in Eukaryota, Metazoa, Chordata, Mammalia, Afrosoricida, Tenrecidae. The record is from RefSeq and is a predicted model, not a curated record.